This is a non-coding RNA of Cyanistes caeruleus (blue tit), 1711 nucleotides long. The record is from RefSeq and is a predicted model, not a curated record. Lineage: Eukaryota; Metazoa; Chordata; Aves; Passeriformes; Paridae.
AGGGAGAGAAAGCAAAAGUUCCUCAACACCAGAUUUCCUGUGACAGAAAAUGUACACCUAUUUUUUAUGUACUCAGACAUUACAGUGUGUGAAGAAAAACACAAAAGAAGCAACAGUUUUCCUUUCAUGAAAAAGAAAUCCAGGAAUAAGUGUGGUCAGACAAGACAAUGAAGGUGAGAUAAAACACUGAAUAGCUAUAUUAAGCAAGCUCCUACUUUGUUCAGUGUACAUAUGGGUCCCACUGGAAAAAGCAAAACAAAAAGCAAGUGGAAAGCUGUAAUUCAAUACACUGUUUGAAAAAAUGACCCCAGAUGUAAUGUUUCCUAGCAUCCAGAUAGUUCAACCAAUAUUACAAGACCAUUAAUGUCAUAGCUGUGUUUUAUUUUACUCAUAAUCCAAGAAAAGGGAAGGAGAAAAGAGAUUUGUCGCAGGUGUGUUCGGUAGAAAUUCUCUACAAAGGUGAAUGGCUGAUAUGCCAGGAGAUGGUCAGGCUUAAAUUUGUAACACUCCCUCUAGAAAUGCAGGGCUGGAUAAUGCCUGCACUGCCAACACCAUGCAGCAUGCUACACAUUUGGCACAACAGGUAAAAGAAAGAUUGUAUGUAAAGUGAUGCAGCUGAAGCAACAGUGGAACAGCAUUUUGGAAACUGCUUUCAGUGUAGGAAAUCAUAGGAUUUGAGUGACAGGACUGGAUCAACAGAAGGGCUUGGGGAAGAGGCAUGGAGAAGUUCCGUGUUUGGGUCUGGUUUGUUUGUUCAUCCCUUUCCCCCUCUGUUCAGUCAGCAGCACACAAGGCAAUCUGUCAUACAACAGAUUCUGCCUACAGUCUGGGUGGGAUUGCUAAGGGAAUGAGGUUCUUCCUCCUGGUCUGAUGACUGAGCAGAAAAGGAAAAGAAAGAAGUACUUUAAUCUGAAAGGAAAAGUUCAGCUUUGUGGGUUCCUGACAAGACAGUUUGCCACUUAAUUUGACCAAAACUCAUUGAUGAAAUUCUCCUGAGGCAUCUUUGAAUGCUGGAAGGGCUAUGUAAGGUAUCAAAUAGCAGUGACCACCUUCAGUCCUACAGUAUUGGCCCACCUGACUCAACAAAUGAGUGCCUCUUCUCUGGAUACAAACACCUCUUUUUCCCCUUUUGCAGAAAGAGCAUGGAAACACAUUAACUGAGCAUGGCCACACUUGAGGCAGGGUGUUGUCACCAGUCUCAUAUCUUCUUCCAGCUUGCAAUUGCACCAGUGUUAGCAGGUAUCAUCCAAGUCUUACCUGAGUACUUUGAGCACUUUGCUGUUCCUUGUCCUCAAAAGGUGACACCUGCAGAGGGUAGAGGUUUGGUUCUGCAUCUUACCUGAGUGCUUUCAUCCUCCAGCAGGUCCUCAGCACCAGAAUGGGACCAGAGCCUUCAUACCUUGACUUGUCUCAAUUAGCUGAGCAUAUAUGAUGCCACAGUUUGCUUUCCAGCUGCCUAUGAGAAAAGCAUGAUCACACUACAGUUUCAUGGAGGAGAAGAAUGUGGUACUGGAAAAAACCAAGAAGAACUCAGGGGUAACACUCAAAAGGCAAAUGUGUUACAGGAAACUUAGUAAGGGAGGGUUAUGUCACAAAACCCCCCAUGUUAGUAAAUAUUUUUAAAAUUAUUAUUUUGAUAUUUAAAUAUUGUAAUUGUUUUAGAAUAGUUAUGCCUACAAGUACUUAUUUAAUAUAUUGGUAUCCCUAUUAA